UGAACAUUUAGUCUGUACCCCAUUUCCCGAACGUCCCGAAGCUUUGGCUCAAAAUACAAAGAAAUGUCUACAGUUUCAUAACUCAAAGAUAACUUCCAAAAUAUUCGAUGUUGCUGGUCUUUCAAAUAGUUCAACCUCAUGAAGACGGCUUUCUUAUCAUUUUUGUCUUUUUAAUUACUAAGUUCCGGUCAUUAAAGAGGUUUUCAAGAAUAAAAAAUGAAAAAAAAAAGACAGCAAGUAUGUCUUUAAAAGGUUCCUUUUAAUUUAAUUCAGCAGGACAACAUCUUAAGGGCAUCUUUUCAGGUUAUAUUUCUAGCAGGAGGUCAUUUAGAGCACAUAGUUUUACCAUGUCAAUAAUGGAAGUCAUCUAGAAACUAUUUCUCCACAUUUCAGUCACAAAGAGUCAUCCUGAUGAUUAUUUUUUCAAACAUGAAUCGUCAGAAGCUUUUCCAGAAAACAUUUGUUUAUGUUUUCUCUAACUAUAGGACCUUCAGAAGGCAGUUUUUCACGUUUUUUUUUUAAACCAGGACAGCCAGUUUGCACUUUUUCUAUGUGAGGGUACCAUGAUGGGCAUAAUUUUACGUUUGUACACCAGUAGGUCACUCCUUUUCACAUUUUAAUCCCUGACAGGACAUUCAGAAGGCUUAUGUCAUAUUUUAUUUAUUAGCAGGCGAUUCAGAGUGUUUUCUAUUUUUUUUAUUUUGAUCAACAGAGGAACAGACAGAGGGCACUAGGUCAUUUUUUAUCCACUUAUGGGCACUUUCAAGAGGCUUUUUUUUUUCACAUUUUCAUCUUCUACAAGAGCAUUCAAGAAAACUUUCAUGCAGCUAUUUUUUUUUACCAGCACAAAAGUCCCCUUAGUCCUCUCUGACUGUAUGACUCUGACCUAGAUUACAGCAAUUAUAAUUCUAUUCUAUUCCAUGUUUAUAUUUUCCGCAAACACUGAUACUACUAUUACUAAUUAUAAUAAUGAUAACUUUGUUUGUAUAGCAUUUUUAAAAACAAGGGUUUACAAAGUGCUUUGGCAUUCAGAAAAACAAAGCAGCAAAACUGAAACAAAAACUAGAGAACACUUAAGAGGAGAGAACGUUAACAGGAACCAAAACCCAGAGACCAAGGGUACUGAAGCUUUAAAAGGCAUUAAAAGAGAAGGAAUAAGAACUAAAAACAUGAAAAGGGGUAAAAUUCUAAAUAAAAUUAAAUGUAAGAAGAUGACAUCACAUAAAAGCAAGUCCAUAAAAAUGGGUUUCAAGAAAUGAUUUAAAAGCAGUAACUGUUUCAGCAUGUCUCAUCUCCUCAGGUAGGUCAUUCCAAAGUUGAGAAGCCCUGAUGGAAAGGCCCAGUCACCUUUAGUUACAAGCCUUGACUCUGUUAAACCAGUAGGCCACCACCCAAGGGUCUUAGGGUGUGGGCUGGCUCAUAGGGAGUUUCAUAGAUUGGAACCAGACCCUUUAGUCAUUUAGUGCUUUUAUAGUAAUGAGUAAAAACUUUAAAUAAAUUUAUUCUAAAACUAUCAGAAAGCCACAGUAAAGAUACUAAAAUCAGGGUGAUGUGAUGUGAUGUGAUGUGAUGUCGUCUAUUAAAACCAAUUAGUCUAGCUGCUGCAUUCUGAACCAGUUGGAGGCGGGAAAGGGAUUUCAUAGUAAUACCUGAAAGAAGUGAGUUACAGUAAUGAAGGCAGGAGAAAAUGAGGGCAUGGAUGAUUUUUUCCAUGUCUAACUGAGAGAGGAAGGAUUUGAAUUUGGAAAUACCGCAUGAGAGGAGAAGCAUGACUGUGAGAUUUUAUUGAUUUGAACUGCAGAGGUGAGGUUAGAAUCAAACUGAACCCCCAGAUUUAUGGCUGAUGAUUUGAUAUUUGAUGAAAAUGAACCAAGGCUGUUAUUGAUUAUGUUUGAGGAAUUUUGUCAGUUGAGCAUGAUUAUUUCAGAUUUGCAGUUGUUUAGUUGUAGUGAAUUCUGUGCCAUCCAACAGAUUACAUAAUAUAAAUAGUCUGUAACGGCAGCUAGGCUUCUCAGGUCUCAGGUCUCAGGAGCAGGUAUAUGUGUGUGUCGUCUGUGUAUCAGUAAAAGGAGACCUUAUGAGUCUGAAUUAUUUGACCAAGGGGCAUAAUGAUGCGUCUUUCCUUGUUGUGCACUCAUGGCCUAAGUGUGAUGUUUUAGCUUGCCUCCUCAAGUGUCAAUAACUUGUUCCAUUAAGUUAAGCACAAUAAUAUUUAUGGAGGCAAAAAGCAUCAUACGGAUAUGCCAAUCCGUUUAAAUCUUUUUACUCAAUAGCAUAGUAAACCCAAAGGCCUUUUGUGCACCACGCCUGUCACAAUUAGAGGGCAUCUUCAAUUUCCUUUUAGCACCCCCUGCAGAACCCUCAGACGAAUCCUGAGAAUGGCUCCACCAGGGCACCAUAUAAAUAGAAAAUAAAAUAGGACCUAAAACCGAACCUUGUGGUACACCACGGGUAAAAGUAGAGGUGGAGGAGGGGUGGUUACCUAUGGUGAAUGCAGAGGCCCGCUCUGAAAGAUAAGAAUAUAACCAGCUAAGUUUGGUGUCCCUGUUGCCCCAUCAGUCUUUAAGACAUUCAAUUAAAAUAGCAUGAUCAACAGUAUCAAAUGCUGCACUGAAAUCAAAAAGAACUAAAAUGGCUCCC
Molecule: long non-coding RNA, 2640 nt
Filed under: Xyrichtys novacula (pearly razorfish)
Lineage: Eukaryota; Metazoa; Chordata; Actinopteri; Labriformes; Labridae
Source: RNAcentral